RNAcentral lists this non-coding RNA (770 nucleotides) under Manocoreus sp. Lineage: Eukaryota; Metazoa; Arthropoda; Insecta; Hemiptera; Coreidae. The record is from RNAcentral.
UAAAAAUUUUUUGUUGAAUUGGUUUUUUUAUAAUAUUAAAUACAAGUUUUUGCUAGAAAGUUAUUUUAUCUAAAAGGUUAAAUUUUAAUUAUUUAUUUGUAGUUUUUAAUUUUGGUUUAUUACGUAAUUUUUGUAGAUUCAGUUAAUAUAUUUAAGGUUAUUUAAGGUUGUGCCAGCAUACGCGGUUAUACAUCCAGCCUAAAUUAAUUUUUUUGGUUAUUAUUAUUUUUUUUUCUUGGAUUUAAUUUUUAUAAUUUUAAGGUGAAAUUUUUAAUUUUAUUUUAAUUCUUGGUUUAUUAUUAUAUUAGGUUUAGAUUAUAGACUAGGAUUAGAUACCCUAUUAUGCUAAAUGUAAAUUUUUGACCAUGUUAUUAAUAGUUAAGGUCUUUAAAUUAAAAGGAUUUGGCGGUAAUUUAGUCUUUUCAGAGGAACCUGUUCUUUAAUCGAUAAUCCACGUUGGAUUUUACUUUAUUUUUGUUUGUAUAUCUCUGUCAUUGAAUGUUUUAUUAGAAUAUUUUCUUUAAUUAUUAAUUUAAUUAAUGUCAGGUCAAGGUGCAGUUUUAAUAAAGGUUGAAAUGGGUUACAUUUAAUGUUAUUUAUUGAAUUUUUAUGUUGGAAUUUAUAUAUGAAAUGGGAUUUGAAAGUAAUUUUUAUUAUUUUUUAAUAAUGAUUUUGGCUCUAAGUUAUGUACACAUCGCCCGUCACUCUCAUUAUUAAGGUGGGAUAAGUCGUAACAAAGUAAUUUUACUGGAAAGUGAAGUUAGAAUUAA